RNAcentral lists this ribosomal RNA (1365 nucleotides) under Escherichia coli. RNAcentral describes it as "partial 23S ribosomal RNA". It matches the Rfam family "Bacterial large subunit ribosomal RNA", at positions 418 to 1783 of the family's 2925-position model. The record is from RNAcentral. Lineage: Bacteria; Pseudomonadati; Pseudomonadota; Gammaproteobacteria; Enterobacterales; Enterobacteriaceae.
CGGGACACGUGGUAUCCUGUCUGAAUAUGGGGGGACCAUCCUCCAAGGCUAAAUACUCCUGACUGACCGAUAGUGAACCAGUACCGUGAGGGAAAGGCGAAAAGAACCCCGGCGAGGGGAGUGAAAAAGAACCUGAAACCGUGUACGUACAAGCAGUGGGAGCACGCUUAGGCGUGUGACUGCGUACCUUUUGUAUAAUGGGUCAGCGACUUAUAUUCUGUAGCAAGGUUAACCGAAUAGGGGAGCCGAAGGGAAACCGAGUCUUAACUGGGCGUUAAGUUGCAGGGUAUAGACCCGAAACCCGGUGAUCUAGCCAUGGGCAGGUUGAAGGUUGGGUAACACUAACUGGAGGACCGAACCGACUAAUGUUGAAAAAUUAGCGGAUGACUUGUGGCUGGGGGUGAAAGGCCAAUCAAACCGGGAGAUAGCUGGUUCUCCCCGAAAGCUAUUUAGGUAGCGCCUCGUGAAUUCAUCUCCGGGGGUAGAGCACUGUUUCGGCAAGGGGGUCAUCCCGACUUACCAACCCGAUGCAAACUGCGAAUACCGGAGAAUGUUAUCACGGGAGACACACGGCGGGUGCUAACGUCCGUCGUGAAGAGGGAAACAACCCAGACCGCCAGCUAAGGUCCCAAAGUCAUGGUUAAGUGGGAAACGAUGUGGGAAGGCCCAGACAGCCAGGAUGUUGGCUUAGAAGCAGCCAUCAUUUAAAGAAAGCGUAAUAGCUCACUGGUCGAGUCGGCCUGCGCGGAAGAUGUAACGGGGCUAAACCAUGCACCGAAGCUGCGGCAGCGACGCUGAUGCGUUGUUGGGUAGGGGAGCGUUCUGUAAGCCUGUGAAGGUGUGCUGUGAGGCAUGCUGGAGGUAUCAGAAGUGCGAAUGCUGACAUAAGUAACGAUAAAGCGGGUGAAAAGCCCGCUCGCCGGAAGACCAAGGGUUCCUGUCCAACGUUAAUCGGGGCAGGGUGAGUCGACCCCUAAGGCGAGGCCGAAAGGCGUAGUCGAUGGGAAACAGGUUAAUAUUCCUGUACUUGGUGUUACUGCGAAGGGGGGACGGAGAAGGCUAUGUUGGCCGGGCGACGGUUGUCCCGGUUUAAGCGUGUAGGCUGGUUUUCCAGGCAAAUCCGGAAAAUCAAGGCUGAGGCGUGAUGACGAGGCACUACGGUGCUGAAGCAACAAAUGCCCUGCUUCCAGGAAAAGCCUCUAAGCAUCAGGUAACAUCAAAUCGUACCCCAAACCGACACAGGUGGUCAGGUAGAGAAUACCAAGGCGCUUGAGAGAACUCGGGUGAAGGAACUAGGCAAAAUGGUGCCGUAACUUCGGGAGAAGGCACGCUGAUAUGUAGGUGAAGCGACUUGCUCGUGGAGCU